CGUUUUACCAAAGCAUCGUUGUCCAACAACGGUCGCCAGUUUCUUGAAUUGUGUUGUAAACGACGGUUUGUGAAACGUACUAACGAUAUCGUUUCACGGUGUUGUUAUCGUUAUAGUUGUGGUGUGAACGGGCCUUUAGAGUGACUCCUUAUGGAAGUGACUAAGUUAGUGGUGUACUUCUGACCUACAUGAAGAGCACACUAGAAGUCUGUCAUGACUCAGAUCGGAUAGAGACGCUCCCAAAGCCUCAGAACAUGCAGCGGCACGCAGAUCAUGCUGAGGAGAAACUGCCCGUGUGUUUGUGUGAGAGGGAGAGACCUUCACGAGCGUUACGGCGAUCCUCAGCUUCAGAGCGUGGCAUUCCUGGACAUGGAUUUCACAUCAACUUGGGCUUGAUGAAGAAAGAAAAAUGUAAGGGUCCACUGAAAGAGGAGAUGAACGAGCUGAACUGAGGGGAAUCAAACACAACUGCACAGG
This is a long non-coding RNA of Ctenopharyngodon idella (grass carp), 477 nucleotides long. RefSeq lists it as uncharacterized. The transcript is spliced from 3 exons. The record is from RefSeq and is a predicted model, not a curated record. NCBI's taxonomy places the organism in Eukaryota, Metazoa, Chordata, Actinopteri, Cypriniformes, Xenocyprididae.